CGGCCCGGCCAUAGCGGCCGGGUAACACCCGGACUCAUUUCGAACCCGGAAGUUAAGCCGGCCGCGUUGGGACUCCAGUGGGGUCCGAGAGGCCCUGCAGGGGUCCCAAGCCGGGGCCGG
This 120-nucleotide ribosomal RNA is filed under the name Aeropyrum sp. The record is from RNAcentral. Lineage: Archaea; Thermoproteati; Thermoproteota; Thermoprotei; Acidilobales; Acidilobaceae.